RNAcentral lists this ribosomal RNA (219 nucleotides) under uncultured prokaryote. Its description in RNAcentral is "partial 16S ribosomal RNA". It matches the Rfam family "Bacterial small subunit ribosomal RNA", at positions 524 to 742 of the family's 1533-position model. The record is from RNAcentral.
GACGAACCGUGCGAACGUUGUUCGGAAUCACUGGGCUUAAAGGGCGCGUAGGCGGGCAAGCAAGUCAGGGGUGAAAUCUUUCAGCUCAACUGGAAAAGAGCCUUUGAUACUGCUGGCCUCGAGGGAGGUAGGGGCGUGCGGAACUUCCGGUGGAGCGGUGAAAUGCGUAGAGAUCGGAAGGAACGCCGGUGGCGAAAGCGGCACGCUGGACCUCUUCUG